RNAcentral lists this ribosomal RNA (539 nucleotides) under Margasus sp. 00003998. RNAcentral's name for it is "partial 16S ribosomal RNA". It matches the Rfam family "Bacterial large subunit ribosomal RNA", at positions 1809 to 2611 of the family's 2925-position model. The record is from RNAcentral. Lineage: Eukaryota; Metazoa; Arthropoda; Insecta; Hemiptera; Reduviidae.
AAAAACAUGUCCUUUUGUAGUUUAGAUAUAAGGUCUAGCCUGCCCAAUGAUUGUAAUUAAUUCAAUGGCCGCGGUAUUUUAACUGUGCUAAGGUAGCAUAAUCAUUUGUCUUUUAAUUAAAGGCUAGAAUGAAUGGCUGGACGAGACACUGUCUUUCUUUAACUUAUCUUUUGAAUUUAAUUUUUUAGUUAAAAAGCUAAAAUGUUUUUGAUAGACGAGAAGACCCUAUAGAUCUUUAUACAUUCAUAUAUUAUAUAUUUUGGUUUGUUUAUUAAUUUUAAUAAAUGAAUGUAUUUGAUUGGGGCGAUUGUAGAAUUUUAAGAACUUCUAUUUUUAUAUUUCAUAAAUUAAUGUUUAUUUGAUCCAUUAUUAUUGAUUAUAAGAUUAAGUUACCUUAGGGAUAACAGCGUAAUUUUUUCGGAGAGUUCUUAUCGAUGAAUGGAGUUUGCGACCACGAUGUUGGAUUAAAAUAAGUUUUAAGGUGUAGGAGCUUAAAAACUAGGUCUGUUCGACCUUUAAUUUUUUACAUGAUCUGAGUU